Molecule: ribosomal RNA, 467 nt
Filed under: uncultured bacterium
Lineage: Bacteria
Description: partial 16S ribosomal RNA
Rfam family: Bacterial small subunit ribosomal RNA
Source: RNAcentral
GACGAACGCUGGCGGCGUGCUUAACACAUGCCAGUCGAACGGAAAGGCCUCUUUCGGGGGGUACUCGAGUGGCGAACGGGUGAGUAACACGUGAGUAACCUGCCCUUGACUUUGGGAUAACUUCAGGAAACUGGGGCUAAUACCGGAUAGGAGCUCCUGCUGCAUGGUGGGGGUUGGAAAGUUUGGGCGGUUGGGGAUGGACUCGCGGCUUAUCAGCUUGUUGGUGGGUGAUUGGCUUACCAAGGCUUUGACGGGUAGCCGGCCUGGGAGGGUGAACGGCCACAUUGGGCCUGAGAUACGGCCCAGACUCCUACGGGAGGCAGCAGUGGGGAAUAUUGCACAAUGGGUGGAAGCCUGAUGCAGCAACGCCGUGUGCGGGAUGACGGCCUUCGGGUUGUAAACCGCUUUCGCUCAUGACGAAGCUUUGUGUGACGGUAGUGGGUAAAGAAGCACCGGCUAACUACGUG